CACGUAUUUAGCCGUCACUUCUUCUGUUGGUACCGUCAUUUAUUUCUUCCCAACUGAAAGCACUUUACAUUCCGAAAAACUUCACCGUGCACACAGAAUUGCUGGAUCAGACUCUCGGUCCAUUGUCCAAUAUUCCCCACUGCUGCCUCCCGUAGGAGUAAGGGCCGUGUCUCAGUCCCCUUGUGGCCGUUCACCCUCUCAGGCCGGCUACCCAUCAUCGCCUUGGUGAGCUGUUACCUCUCCAACUAGCUAAUGGGACGCAAAGCUCUCUCACAGUGCUUAUAGCUUUCAUAAUUCUAAGAUGCCUUAAAAUCAUAAUAUCAGGUAUUAGCAUUCAUUUCUAAAUGUUGUCCCUAGCUGUGAGGCAAGUUCUUACGCGUUACUCACCGUCCGCCACCAAAUCUAAACGUUAAAAACCCAAAUUCAAGUUUGAACUUGACAUGUGUUAAGCAAUUUCUAGUCUAGCGUUUACAUUCCUGACGCCAGGACUACAAACUCA
Molecule: ribosomal RNA, 499 nt
Filed under: uncultured Fusobacterium sp.
Lineage: Bacteria; Fusobacteriati; Fusobacteriota; Fusobacteriia; Fusobacteriales; Fusobacteriaceae
Description: partial 16S ribosomal RNA
Source: RNAcentral